RNAcentral lists this ribosomal RNA (1381 nucleotides) under Ectomomyrmex javanus. Its description in RNAcentral is "partial 28S ribosomal RNA". It matches the Rfam family "Eukaryotic large subunit ribosomal RNA", at positions 364 to 1413 of the family's 3401-position model. The record is from RNAcentral. Lineage: Eukaryota; Metazoa; Arthropoda; Insecta; Hymenoptera; Formicidae.
UUGAAAAGAACUUUGAAGAGAGAGUUCAAGAGUACGUGAAACCGUUCAGGGGUAAACCUAAGAAACCCAAAAGAUCGAACGAGGAGAUUCAUCGUCAGCGUCGCUGGCUUCGCGUCGGUGGGCGAUGGGCGCGCGGUUCCUCCGCGCGUGCACGCUACCGUGCGCGCAUGUCCGGCGUCGCCGUCGUGCACUUCUCCCCUAGUAGAACGUCGCGACCCGCUGGGUGUCGGUCUACGGCCCGAGUGAGGCGGCUGUCGCGUCGCCGGUAAAACGGCGCGCGGCAAACCCUCGGUCGCCCGGCCGGCUGCCCGGCGGUACACGCAAGGUAUCAGGCCGCAGUUCUGUCAGAGUCUGCGUCGAGCCCGUCGCAAGCGCGCGCCACGGUUACUCGGAGGCACGGACCCAGCGCCGUCCCCGGUCCUGGCCCGCUGUUGGCUGACGGUGGCUCCCUUCGACAGGCCUCAGCGGAGCGGGGCCAACCCCCCCGCUCCGUCAUACCGGUCGGCGACGCUACUGCUUUGGGUACUCUUAGGACCCGUCUUGAAACACGGACCAAGGAGUCUAACAUGUGCGCGAGUCAUUGGGACCAGCAAAACCCAGAGGCGCAAUGAAAGUGAAGGUCGGCCCUGGCGCCGACCGAGGGAGGAUGGGCCGCGUCGCGACGCGGCCCCGCACUCCCGGGGCGUCUCGUUCUCAUCGCGAGAAGAGGCGCACCAAGAGCGUACACGUUGGGACCCGAAAGAUGGUGAACUAUGCCUGGUCAGGACGAAGUCAGGGGAAACCCUGAUGGAGGUCCGUAGCGAUUCUGACGUGCAAAUCGAUCGUCGGAACUGGGUAUAGGGGCGAAAGACUAAUCGAACCAUCUAGUAGCUGGUUCCCUCCGAAGUUUCCCUCAGGAUAGCUGGCACUCGGCCGUUCCUCGGAACGCGCGCGAGUCUCAUCUGGUAAAGCGAAUGAUUAGAGGCCUUGGGGCCGAAACGACCUCAACCUAUUCUCAAACUUUAAAUGGGUGAGAUCUCUGGCUUUCUUGAACGUUGAAGCCACGAGAAUCUCGGAUCAGAGUGCCAAGUGGGCCAUUUUUGGUAAGCAGAACUGGCGCUGUGGGAUGAACCAAACGCAGAGUUAAGGCGCCCAACUCGACGCUCAUGGGACACCAUGAAAGGCGUUGGUUGCUUAAGACAGCAGGACGGUGGCCAUGGAAGUCGGAAUCCGCUAAGGAGUGUGUAACAACUCACCUGCCGAAGCAACUAGCCCUGAAAAUGGAUGGCGCUGAAGCGUCGAGCCUAUACUCUGCCGUCAGCGGCAAGUGGGGCGGGGGCUCUGUCCCCGUCACGAAGCUCUGACGAGUAGGAGGGUCGCGGCGGUGUGCGCAGAAGGGUCC